GGGUGGGGAAGCAGGGCUGGCUGCUGUUCUGUAGUGAGGCCCUGUGGCUAACUGCGUGUGUGGGAAGCUGUGCUACAACUCAUACGCUGGAUAACCGAGCUUCCUCCCGAGGAGGGUAGGGUGCUGCCUCACUGCUGCCCUGGGCUGGGUCCUGCCCUGAGGGUGGCCAGGCCCCUCCAUCCCUCUGCAGGGCAUGGGGCACGGCUCUCUGUCUGAGGCUCCUGGUUCGACGCAGCAGAACGAGCAGCAGGGGUCAGUGUGGGUCAGGGGAGCGGCAAGGCUGGGGGGCCCUGGAGACUGGUGCCUGCCUUUGUCCUUGACAGUGGCCCCCAGCACACUCAGCGUUUAUGGAGAGGGCCGUUGUCUCCCUCAAUGCAUGAUGAAGACUCUGGGGUUAAGGAACCAUUCCCCCAUUUCUUGAUGACAGUUUUCAAACACACAGGAAAGUUGAGGAUUUUGUCACGCAUUUAUCCACCACCUAGAUCCCACCAUCAGGAGC
This 499-nucleotide long non-coding RNA is filed under the name Homo sapiens (human). RNAcentral's name for it is "HSALNT0274125". Lineage: Eukaryota; Metazoa; Chordata; Mammalia; Primates; Hominidae. The record is from RNAcentral.